RNAcentral lists this ribosomal RNA (1062 nucleotides) under uncultured bacterium. RNAcentral describes it as "bacterial SSU rRNA". It matches the Rfam family "Bacterial small subunit ribosomal RNA", at positions 28 to 1105 of the family's 1533-position model. The record is from RNAcentral.
GACGAACGCUGGCGGCGCGCCUAACACAUGCAAGUCGAACGAGAGAGAGGGAGCUUGCUUCCUCAAUCGAGUGGCGAACGGGUGAGUAACGCGUGAGGAACCUGCCUCAAAGAGGGGGACAACAGUUGGAAACGACUGCUAAUACCGCAUAAGCCCACAGGUCGGCAUCGACCAGAGGGAAAAGGAGCAAUCCGCUUUGAGAUGGCCUCGCGUCCGAUUAGCUAGUUGGUGAGGUAAUGGCCCACCAAGGCGACGAUCGGUAGCCGGACUGAGAGGUUGAACGGCCACAUUGGGACUGAGACACGGCCCAGACUCCUACGGGAGGCAGCAGUGGGGAAUAUUGCACAAUGGGGGAAACCCUGAUGCAGCGACGCCGCGUGGAGGAAGAAGGUCUUCGGAUUGUAAACUCCUGUUGUUGAGGAAGAUAAUGACGGUACUCAACAAGGAAGUGACGGCUAACUACGUGCCAGCAGCCGCGGUAAAACGUAGGUCACAAGCGUUGUCCGGAAUUACUGGGUGUAAAGGGAGCGCAGGCGGGAAGACAAGUUGGAAGUGAAAUCUAUGGGCUCAACCCAUAAACUGCUUUCAAAACUGUUUUUCUUGAGUAGUGCAGAGGUAGGCGGAAUUCCCGGUGUAGCGGUGGAAUGCGUAGAUAUCGGGAGGAACACCAGUGGCGAAGGCGGCCUACUGGGCACCAACUGACGCUGAGGCUCGAAAGUGUGGGUAGCAAACAGGAUUAGAUACCCUGGUAGUCCACACCGUAAACGAUGAUUACUAGGUGUUUGAGGAUUGACCCCUUCAGUGCCGCAGUUAACACAAUAAGUAAUCCACCUGGGGAGUACGACCGCAAGGUUGAAACUCAAAGGAAUUGACGGGGGCCCGCACAAGCAGUGGAGUAUGUGGUUUAAUUCGACGCAACGCGAAGAACCUUACCAAGUCUUGACAUCCUGCGACGGACAUAGAAAUAUGUCUUUCCUUCGGGACGCAGAGACAGGUGGUGCAUGGUUGUCGUCAGCUCGUGUCGUGAGAUGUUGGGUUAAGUCCCGCAACGAGCGCGCCUCU